RNAcentral lists this ribosomal RNA (466 nucleotides) under Vreelandella stevensii. RNAcentral describes it as "partial 16S ribosomal RNA". It matches the Rfam family "Bacterial small subunit ribosomal RNA", at positions 338 to 795 of the family's 1533-position model. Lineage: Bacteria; Pseudomonadati; Pseudomonadota; Gammaproteobacteria; Oceanospirillales; Halomonadaceae. The record is from RNAcentral.
CCUACGGGGGGCAGCAGUGGGGAAUAUUGGACAAUGGGGGCAACCCUGAUCCAGCCAUGCCGCGUGUGUGAAGAAGGCCCUCGGGUUGUAAAGCACUUUCAGUGAGGAAGAACGCCUGGUGGUUAAUACCCAUCAGGAAAGACAUCACUCACAGAAGAAGCACCGGCAUAACUCCGUGCCAGCAGCCGCGGUAAUACGGAGGGUGCGAGCGUUAAUCGGAAUUACUGGGCGUAAAGCGCGCGUAGGUGGCUUGAUAAGCCGGUUGUGAAAGCCCCGGGCUCAACCUGGGAACGGCAUCCGGAACUGUCAAGCUAGAGUGCAGGAGAGGAAGGUAGAAUUCCCGGUGUAGCGGUGAAAUGCGUAGAGAUCGGGAGGAAUACCAGUGGCGAAGGCGGCCUUCUGGACUGACACUGACACUGAGGUGCGAAAGCGUGGGUAGCAAACAGGAUUAGAUACCCGUGUAGUC